This is a long non-coding RNA of Ornithodoros turicata, 662 nucleotides long. RefSeq lists it as uncharacterized. The transcript is spliced from 3 exons. NCBI's taxonomy places the organism in Eukaryota, Metazoa, Arthropoda, Arachnida, Ixodida, Argasidae. The record is from RefSeq and is a predicted model, not a curated record.
GCCGCCAUUUUUGUAACUACCCCCAAGCGGUCGCUUUCCGCAAAAUCGCCAUCUUGUCGUGUUCAACGUCACGGAACUAUCGCCCAAUCACAUCUCGGCUUGGCUUGUUUUCUUUAUUAUGUUUUGUUUCUCCGUCUCAGCUGAUCCGUGUCAUCUGCUUCGCCGCUUUCGACGUCCGCUUUGACUUCGCGUGUUUGGCUAUUGAAUUGCGUUUGCUUGCCACACAUGCCACUUCUGUGACAGGCCAUGGUAGUGUGUUGUUAUUCCGGUUGCGCUAAUCGUUCAGAGUUUGCAAGUAAAGAAUCUGGCAUAACGUACCACCACUUUCCCCGAGACGAGUCCUUACGAUUGCAAUGGGUGAAUGCGAUCGGGAGACCGGAUUGGGUGCCAACGAAGUACAGCCGAGUGUGCUCAAAACACUUCAGGAACGAGGACUUCGACAGAACGUCGCUAACACGCGUGCGCCUGCGGGAGGGUUCCGUUCCUGUCGCACAUCCGUCGGUUCAAGUUCACCAGGAGGAGCAUGACUUGCCAGCCAGACGGGAACCUAGCGGGCAAGAACCAAUAGGCGUGUGCACGCCUGAACCCGGCACGAGCAACGUGAGCCUGCCUGAGCCUGACACACAGGAGGAGAUUGAAGUGAGCAUGGCGUCUGGAUCUGA